Molecule: ribosomal RNA, 270 nt
Filed under: uncultured archaeon
Lineage: Archaea
Description: partial 16S ribosomal RNA
Rfam family: Archaeal small subunit ribosomal RNA
Source: RNAcentral
CAGCACCUCAAGUGGUCAGGAUGAUUAUUGGGCCUAAAGCAUCCGUAGCCGGCGCUGUAAGUUUUCGGUUAAAUCUGUACGCUCAACGUACAGGCUGCCGGGAAUACUGCAGCGCUAGGGAGUGGGAGAGGUAGACGGUACUCGGUAGGAAGGGGUAAAAUCCUUUGAUCUAUUGAUGACCACCUGUGGCGAAGGCGGUCUACCAGAACACGUCCGACGGUGAGGGAUGGAAGAUGGGGGAGCAAACCGGAUUAGAUACCCGAGUAGUCC